RNAcentral lists this small nuclear RNA (85 nucleotides) under Bipolaris maydis C5. RNAcentral's name for it is "U2 spliceosomal RNA". It matches the Rfam family "U2 spliceosomal RNA". Rfam says of the family: U2 is a small nuclear RNA (snRNA) component of the spliceosome (involved in pre-mRNA splicing). Complementary binding between U2 snRNA (in an area lying towards the 5' end but 3' to hairpin I) and the branchpoint sequence (BPS) of the intron results the bulging out of an unpaired adenosine, on the BPS, which initiates a nucleophilic attack at the intronic 5' splice site, thus starting the first of two transesterification reactions that mediate splicing. The record is from Rfam by way of RNAcentral. Lineage: Eukaryota; Fungi; Ascomycota; Dothideomycetes; Pleosporales; Pleosporaceae.
AUAUUUUGGCUUAGAUCAAGUGUAGUAUCUGUUCUUUUCAGUUUAAUCUCUGGUAAGUGAUUCCACUCAUUCCAACCCACCCUCC